This 445-nucleotide ribosomal RNA is filed under the name uncultured bacterium. RNAcentral describes it as "bacterial SSU rRNA". It matches the Rfam family "Bacterial small subunit ribosomal RNA", at positions 331 to 793 of the family's 1533-position model. The record is from RNAcentral.
CCAGACUCCUACGGGAGGCAGCAGUGGGGGAUAUUGCACAAUGGGGGAAACCCUGAUGCAGCGACGCCGCGUGAGUGAAGAAGUAUUUCGGUAUGUAAAGCUCUAUCAGCAGGGAAGAAGAUGACAGUACCUGAGUAAGAAGCCCCGGCUAACUACGUGCCAGCAGCCGCGGUAAUACGUAGGGGGCAAGCGUUAUCCGGAUUUACUGGGUGUAAAGGGAGCGUAGACGGUUAUGUAAGUCUGGAGUGAAAGCCCGGGGCCCAACCCCGGGACUGCAUUUGGAACUGUGCUGCUAGAGUGUCGGAGAGGCAGGCGGAAUUCCUAGUGUAGCGGUGAAAUGCGUAGAUAUUAGGAGGAACACCAGUGGCGAAGGCGGCCUGCUGGACGAUGACUGACGUUGAGGCUCGAAAGCGUGGGGAGCAAACAGGAUUAGAUACCCCUGUAA